GCCCCUGGGGAGUUUCCCUCAUUGCAUGAAAACCAGAAUGAAAUCUCUGUUGCUUUUCCUUUCCCUGCUCUCAACCCUCACCUGUGUUCUCUCCCAGGUGCAGCUGGUCCAGUCUGGCCAGGGCGUGGUGAAGCCCGGAGAGACCCUCGCACUGACCUGCGCUGUCUCCGGCUUCUCUAUCACUACUCAGCAUUACGACUGGCACUGGAUCCGGCAGCCCCCCGGGAAAGGGCUGGAGUGGAUGGGACGGGUAUAUCCAUAUAGUAGCAGUGCCACAAACUACGCCCCGUCUCUCCAAGCCCGAAUCACCAUCUCUGCAGACACCGCCAAGAACCAGUUCUCCCUGCAGCUGCGCUCGCUGACAGCUGCAGACACCGGCACCUAUUACUGCGCCCGGAUAACCUAUGAGAAGUGGACGGGAUGCGGGCCUGUUCUGAUGUACAGCGUCUCCUGCACUUUAAGAACAGGGGCAGUUUCAGCUAAAAUUUGA
Malaclemys terrapin pileata is the source of this 490-nucleotide non-coding RNA. The record is from the annotation of a RefSeq genome assembly. NCBI's taxonomy places the organism in Eukaryota, Metazoa, Chordata, Testudines, Emydidae.